This 589-nucleotide long non-coding RNA is filed under the name Salmo salar (Atlantic salmon). RNAcentral's name for it is "lncRNA (ENSSSAG00000117425.1)". The record is from RNAcentral. Lineage: Eukaryota; Metazoa; Chordata; Actinopteri; Salmoniformes; Salmonidae.
GUAGGGGUAGUGUGUGUGUUACCUGUAAGGACUAGGUGUAGGGGUAGUGUGUGUGUGUUACCUGUAAGGACUAGACGUAGGGGUAGUGUGUGUGUUACCUGUAAGGACUAGACGUAGGGGUAGUGUGUGUGUUACCUGUAAGGACUAGACGUAGGGGUAGUGUGUGUGUUACCUGUAAGGACUAGAUGUAGGGGUAGUGUGUGUGUUACCUGUAAGGACUAGACGUAGGGGUAGUGUGUGUGUUACCUGUAAGGACUAGACGUAGGGGUAGUGUGUGUGUGUUACCUGUAAGGACUAGAUGUAGGGGUAGUGUGUGUGUGUUACCUGUAAGGACUAGACGUAGGGGUAGUGUGUGUGUGUUACCUGUAAGGACUAGAUGUAGGGGUAGUGUGUGUGUGUUACCUGUAAGGGCUAGAUGUAGGGGUAGUGUGUGUGUGUUACCUGUAAGGGCUAGAUGUAGGGGUAGUGUGUGUGUGUUACCUGUAAGGACUAGACGUAGGGGUAGUGUGUGUGUGUUACCUGUAAGGACUAGACGUAGGGGUAGUGUGUGUGUGUUACCUGUAAGGACUAGAUGUAGGGGUAGUGUGUG